RNAcentral lists this ribosomal RNA (2752 nucleotides) under Triticum aestivum (bread wheat). Its description in RNAcentral is "partial small subunit ribosomal RNA". The record is from RNAcentral. Lineage: Eukaryota; Viridiplantae; Streptophyta; Magnoliopsida; Poales; Poaceae.
AGACUGCCAGCAGCGCGAGGCGUGAAGGCGGCCGGCUCGUGGGCGGGGGCCCAGGUCCGGAGGAAGGUGGCUCCUUGCGGCGGAGGUUCCCUAGGAGGAGACUGAGGUGCCAGCGGCGGCAGCAGGAGGAGGAGGUGCCGAAGAGGCGAGGCGACCUGGCGGCUAGGCAGGCCUGCCCCCGACCACUGCUUGGGAUUGAACGAACAUGACAGGCCUACCAAAACUAGAGCAUAAAAGAAAGGAAAGACACUCGACACUCCUCAAAUUAGGUAGAUCGAAGUACGCCUAAGCAAGCGACGAACAACUCGACUAGUAUCGACACCCAAGGAAAAGGCCUUCUUUUUCUUCUCCUUUAAAACCCCAAGGUCAGGUCGGGUUGGGGUACCGUGAGAAACCCACACGCCAGCCUCCUGUAGAGACCCAAAAGAACGCUUGUGAAGAUGAAUACCUUUCUACGUUUUUUAAGCACGCUGACAACGAAUUAAUUGACACAAUUAAGAACCUUUAAAUACUAGUUCAUGAAUAAACUCAUACUUAUAUAUAGUAUAUAGUCGGACAUGUCAUGGUUAAAGUUCGUUUACCAUCAAUUAACCAUGGGUCACGAUUGUGUUACAAAACAAAGAACACGACCACACUGACACUUGUCCAGUGCCGGCCUUUGACAUUUUCAAUUAACACCAAACAAUCCUAAGACCCUCCGCCGUUGUACGGGAUGAAGGGUCUACUUCACCACCUCGUGUAGGAACCGAAGUAUAGCAGCGUGGCACUGGCGCUACGACGUAGAGAGCACACAGUGCGCACCAUGGCGUAGCUCCCGGAGUGAGCGGCGAGGCACAAGUAAAGGUUGACGAUACGGCACGCGGGUCUCGCACACGUGCGCGCAAAGGGGACGGACGCGAGCGACUGGCACUUCCCGUUCGGUGCGAAACGACUGAAGUUGGAACAGGGACGCCCCACCCCACGGAGUCGCCUCGGUACCCACCUACGCACACGGGCACGCACGGGACCGGAACUUCUCGAGGCGGACUUCGCCUACCAACAGUGACUACCAACGGAGUUAGUGGAACGAGUGAGUAAAGGGUUAAACUCUAGUGAUCAGGAACAAUCGACACUCCCCAAGUCGUGACUACCGGAACGAUGAUAACGGUGGUUAACGUCCAAAGACUUCCUUGAACUGAAUGUUCCCUCAGUCCACCUCAAAGCUCCGGCAGUAACCAAAUCAACAAAGGGGUUCGGAAGCUGUAGUAAUCUUAGGAACUUAAAACGAACGAACCUACCUCGUCACUCACGAUUACGUAACCUUUCAGAACAACGUUCCUCAGGUUUAGAAUUUUCGAAUUCCAAUUUAGCACGUCAAGGUGGUCGACAAAAUCGGUUUUAAGAAUGAAGGCGAGGAUUCGACCACCUAAAUCCAUGUCCUAACCAACGAGUUUCGUUAUUACGACCACGUGAGGGGUCAGAGAUGUCACGAUAAGUUGUUACGUCAAGAGACUUAUCAAAUAGACCGAAAACCCUAAGAGGUGCAACCUAAUGAGGUUAUUAUGUUAUAUAAACGUUCUUGGAUUGUACGAACUUGGAAUCGAUACGAGGUUACAAAGCCUGUCAACUAGAAUAACCUUAAUAAGCGGUUACAGUCUUAGAGGCUGUGAACACCCAUGAUCUAGUGUAACCACUACGUCCUAAUUUCCAACAUCGGAGAAGAACGGACCUCGACGUUCUCAACUCCCAUAAAGGACGCUUACGUUUACACAAUUAUUCGUGACCACACUGUCUCCUUCCCGACCAACGUCAUAGAAGUCCGACAGCCUUCGAUUUGAGACAAGAGAUAAGGACGGCAGCUUACUGAUUAAGACGAGACUAGUGCCACCGUUUCUUGACGAGCGCUUAGUGCAGGAAGUCUGACGUAUAGACGGACGUACCCAGUCAUCUACGGCACUGUCCGGUCGGUGACCUGCUCCCAAAACCCCGUUAGCAGGCCAGUACGUUCCCGGAGUCCGCGAAUAGAUACAGACCGGAAGAGUGCCUGUCACACAAGGACAUGUAGCCGUACAUGCGGCUCUCCGACCUCUGCGAGAGACAGAGCAAACGUCCUCUAUCACUACUACCGUACUAGAUACACGAGUUACCGACGUUCUUAGAGUCCUUCGACCUCUAGUCCUUGACGGGUAAACCGUUGUGGCGCGAAGAGCGUCCGUACGUGGCCAUGCUCCGUUACGCGAGCGAAACCUACAGCAGCACGCUGUAGUGGGACCCACCGACGUCCAGGGAGCGCCGUCGGUACGGUCCGGAGUUGCAGCUCCAGUAGUCGGUCCGCCUACCUCCGCGGUUGCUACGUUUCUUCCACCUCUUCGACAUACAGAUGUCCUGUGAGCGGCCGGGUUCCCAACUACGGGGACCUAAGCAGAGCCGUGACAUUUAAUGAAUAUGGCAGCAUCAACGACCCAAAAGGAUCUGGGACGAUAAACACACUUGAAUUAAGCCACGACAGCGUGAAAAUACGAUGCAGACGAUGAGACUUCGCCCGUGGUCAGAACACUUAAACCAAUCAGAAGGCUUCGCGAUAAACACACCGGUUGUGUCGUAUUAUAUACCUAGAUCCGGAAUAAAGGUUCCAACGUGACGCCAUAUCGACUUGACAAACACUGCGUUGCUCGACUAGACAAGACAAUGACACACGAACCAAUGACUUGGUUCACCUUGCCUUACGAUAAAAAUAAAAAAUAAAAGAAAUAAUCUUCUUCACCUUGCGUUA